Molecule: non-coding RNA, 83 nt
Filed under: Vitis vinifera (wine grape)
Lineage: Eukaryota; Viridiplantae; Streptophyta; Magnoliopsida; Vitales; Vitaceae
Source: RNAcentral
GAAAGAGGAAGGCACUGGUGAUGUUGUUGACAGAAGAUAGAGAGCACAGAUGAUGAUGUGCAUGGAGUUUGCAUCUCACUCCU